Molecule: microRNA, 21 nt
Filed under: Arabidopsis lyrata
Lineage: Eukaryota; Viridiplantae; Streptophyta; Magnoliopsida; Brassicales; Brassicaceae
Description: aly-miR822-3p
Gene: aly-miR822-3p
Source: miRBase by way of RNAcentral
GAAACAACAUACGUUACAUCC